Molecule: ribosomal RNA, 468 nt
Filed under: uncultured bacterium
Lineage: Bacteria
Description: partial 16S ribosomal RNA
Rfam family: Bacterial small subunit ribosomal RNA
Source: RNAcentral
GACGAACGCUGGCGGCGUGCUUAACACAUGCAAGUCGAACGGAAAGGCCCUGCUUUUGUGGGGUGCUCGAGUGGCGAACGGGUGAGUAACACGUGAGUAACCUGCCCUUGACUUUGGGGUAACUUCAGGACACUGGGGCUAAUACCGGAUAGGAGCUCCUGCUGCAUGGUGGGGGUUGGAAAGUUUCGGCGGUUGGGGCUGGACUCGCGGCUUAUCAGCUUGUUGGUGGGGUAGUGGCUUACCAAGGCUUUGACGGGUAGCCGGCCUGAGAGGGUGACCGGCCACAUUGGGACUGAGAUACGGCCCAGACUCCUACGGGAGGCAGCAGUGGGGAAUAUUGCACAAUGGGCGGAAGCCUGAUGCGGCAACGCCGCGUGCGGGAUGACGGCCUUCGGGUUGUAAACCGCUUUCGCCUGUGACGAAGAGUGAGUGACGGUAAUGGGUAAAGAAGCACCGGCUAACUACGUG